Molecule: ribosomal RNA, 257 nt
Filed under: uncultured bacterium
Lineage: Bacteria
Description: partial 16S ribosomal RNA
Rfam family: Bacterial small subunit ribosomal RNA
Source: RNAcentral
UUCCGCCUACGGGAGGCAGCAGUGGGGGAUAUUGCACAAUGGGGGGAACCCUGAUGCAGCGACGCCGCGUGGGUGAAGGAGCGUUUCGGCGCGUAAAGCCCUAUCGGCAGGGAAGAAGAUGACGGUACCUGACCAAGAAGCCCCGGCUAACUACGUGCCAGCAGCCGCGGUAAUACGUAGGGGGCAAGCGUUAUCCGGAUUUAAUGGGGGUAAAGGGGGCGCAGACGGCAAUGCAAGCCAGGAGGGAAAGCCCGGGG